ACGAACGCUGGCGGCAUGCCUCACCCCUUCAAGUCGAACGAGACCUUCGGGUCUAGUGGCGCACGGGUGCGUAACGCGUGGGAACCUGCCCUUAGGUUCGGAAUAACUCCCCGAAAGGGGUGCUAAUACCGGAUAAUGUCUUCGGACCAAAGAUUUAUCGCCUUUGGAUGGGCCCGCGUUGGAUUAGCUAGUUGGUAGGGUAAAAGCCUACCAAGGCGACGAUCCAUAGCUGGUCUGAGAGGAUGAUCAGCCACACUGGGACUGAGACACGGCCCAGACUCCUACGGGAGGCAGCAGUGGGGAAUAUUGGACAAUGGGCGAAAGCCUGAUCCAGCAAUGCCGCGUGAGUGAUGAAGGCCUUAGGGUUGUAAAGCUCUUUUACCCGGGAUGAUAAUGACAGUACCGGGAGAAUAAGCUCCGGCUAACUCCGUG
RNAcentral lists this ribosomal RNA (432 nucleotides) under uncultured bacterium. RNAcentral's name for it is "partial 16S ribosomal RNA". It matches the Rfam family "Bacterial small subunit ribosomal RNA", at positions 29 to 507 of the family's 1533-position model. The record is from RNAcentral.